UCAGCGUUUUUAAGCCUUGGAGUAUCUUUGUCCACGUCUGUAGCCGAUUGUGUGAGCAGAAAUGGGUCGACAAGUUUUACAUAAAAGAUGAAAACGUUAUCAACGCCUGAAGUCUUUUUUGUCAGCUAUCUGUCUAGCAUGGUCCAGAACGCUUGUGCGAGGACAGAAUAGAGGGGACCUAUGGUCCCACAGAACACCCACACUGUAGACAUGGGCUCCCCCACAGGGCAGGGCCCAGAUCUGCCAUGCAUUUCACACCGUAACAGAGCCCACAGUUGGUGACUUGCACUGAGAUAAAUGUGGUGACCUCAUAAAAAGUACGCCCACCCUAAGUACACAGGUAUACUGUGGACACCCUGUAACACCACAUAACUUCAGAAAACCGUUCCUUGUAACACGUGACCAUGAAACAAACUGCUGUCAUUCUGUCGCUUCCAGCACGUGUGAGCCAGCAUCAACCAAAACAGUGAUAAGACUGCUCUGUUACACUAUGGUAUGCAAGGAGCAGCGUAGUACUCCUCACAUCCAGUGGUACUCAAAUAAGGAACAUUACGAGCUACUUUUCUUAAAAGGAAUGCAGUAGAUUACUGAAUGACUUGCCUGACAAAGUCAUUUGUUACAUUACUUACUUGUUACUCCAUAAAAUGACCUGAAACACUGUCGCAUAAUUAUCAGUUAAUAUAAACCUGAGGCUGCAGGUCCACACACCAGCACAAAUCCCUAUCCUAAUGAGGACAUAUGAACACAAACCCAACAACACAACAGAAGGAUGCAAACCAGAAAAAAGCACUGACUCUACUGCAGAAACAUGAGCAGGUAGAAAUGGAGGACGCAAUGCUGCAAGUCCAACUGACAUCACUGCCUGUUACCCGCUGAGCUUAAGACCAGAACCCUGUACUGCAGCAUUAUCCCAGUCCACAGAACCCCAUCCUUGUCUCUCUAUGGAGCUGAUGUUUGGUGGUGUUGCUUACAGUUAUGCAGGAGCAGAAGGGGGUCUGAUGGAGAAUAAAUGUCAUAUCCUUUAGAUCACUGAUCUUAAACUGAAAUCAGCAAAAUUUAUAGGGUUUACUUAUUGUGGAACUUUCUGAUCACACUGUAUACUGUGCUUUCCAGGGUUCAGCAGGCGAGUUCAGCUGACUUCAGGUUUUUAAAUUAAAUUUACUUAAACACCCCAAAGUGGCUGAUGGGCAAACAACAAACCAGUGUGCUGAAGGAACUGUUAGCUCCUAUUAAAUAAAACUUCAGGUGGAAAAACUGUCCCGAUGCUUUAAAGAAGAACACACGUGUGUGUUUUCAUGUGUGUUUGUGUAGAUGAGAUGAAGACACCCUGUAAUGAUGAAGAUGCAUCCGCCUGUCAGCUCGUCCCUCCUCCCUCUGCUGCCUCCAUCGCUCCCAGGAGGAGGAGUCAGAAACUGAAACAGUAAACCACCUCCACUCCCUCGUUUCUCCUCUGCUGGGACCCCAAAACAAGCACAAACACCACCCUUCAAACAGCUGCAGCACUUUCAGUGCAGAGACUCUUAUUUUGAAGGAGACGACCAAGAAAACAAAGUUUAAACAUCACCAGUGCACCUAUAA
Molecule: long non-coding RNA, 1578 nt
Organism: Archocentrus centrarchus (flier cichlid)
Lineage: Eukaryota; Metazoa; Chordata; Actinopteri; Cichliformes; Cichlidae
Exons: 4
Source: RefSeq, a predicted model, not a curated record